UGAAUUUCUAUCAUUUGCAACCUGUCACUGUAAGGCACAAACAUGAUCACGCAAGAUGCGAUAGUAGAUUUAAGCCAGUUGUUUUUAAGUUUGUGUUUAAGGAGAAACUAACAAUGAAAACGCACUCGUUGACGGAGGAAAAGUUGGAAUGCAGCCUCUGGUGCUGUUUGAGCGAUCCCUCUCCCCGGGGCCUGGCCGCGCACUGCUGUGUUCUGGAAGGGCUCAUUGUACAGUCAAGGCGGCAGACUAGCCCUGCUUGCAACUUCCACGUGCAGUCCUCCUCAAUGCUGCCAGAACGGCAGCUACAACUCUAUGAUUGAAGGCAUCGCCCUCCUGGUUCUCCAUAUUGUUUGCCAUCUUGGACAGAUAAAUUAGAUGAGCUCUUUUUUCAACACUCAGAGAAUGUUUUGAAUUCGCAUUUCUGCCAUCUUACUCACCUAUUCGAAUCAGUUCCCUCCCCCUCCCUUGUAUCAAAUAUUGUCUCUGAUAAUAAUACAUUGAGUUAUUUGUAGUUCCUGAAGAAUUUCAUGUUCUUAUAACAUUAAAUUUUUU
This 552-nucleotide long non-coding RNA is filed under the name Gorilla gorilla gorilla (western lowland gorilla). RNAcentral's name for it is "lncRNA (ENSGGOG00000044575.1)". The record is from RNAcentral. Lineage: Eukaryota; Metazoa; Chordata; Mammalia; Primates; Hominidae.